This 72-nucleotide transfer RNA is filed under the name Candidatus Dormiibacterota bacterium. RNAcentral's name for it is "tRNA-Met". It matches the Rfam family "tRNA". From Rfam's summary of the family: Transfer RNA (tRNA) molecules are approximately 80 nucleotides in length. The record is from RNAcentral. Lineage: Bacteria; Bacillati; Candidatus Dormiibacterota.
GGCGGCGUAGCUCAGCGGUAGAGCACACGACUCAUAAUCGUGUUGUCGGUGGUUCGAACCCACCCGCCGCCA